Long non-coding RNA from Rattus norvegicus (Norway rat), 3365 nucleotides. RefSeq lists it as uncharacterized. NCBI's taxonomy places the organism in Eukaryota, Metazoa, Chordata, Mammalia, Rodentia, Muridae. The record is from RefSeq and is a predicted model, not a curated record.
GUAAGCAAGCUCUCAAUGAAAUGCUUUCUCUUAUAAGAGUUGCCUUGGCCUUGGUUCACAACAAUAGAACAGUGACUAAGACAGAAGUUGGUACCAGGAGUGGAGUGUUGUUGGACAGAUCUGACCACGUUGUUUGUUUGAGGAAUAUGGAAGACGUUGCGAUGUUAGAAUAUGAACGUAUUGACACUCUAAGUAGGGCUUACUGGGCCAUCCUAGUAGGAAGACAGUGUGACUGAAGGCAUCAGGAAUGGGAGAGGACAACUCAAGAGGUUUCAGAGGGGAAGAAUAUUAGUAAGUGGCAUAAACACCAUUUUAGCGAUAUCUUGGCUUUUGUCCUAAAAAUCUGCCUGAGGCCAAAUUAAACAGUUUUCGAUUAACGCAUCGGAGAGUUGAUUUCAAGGCAGCCUAGUGUGGACUCCGCUGCGUGGUGAUUAGUCAUCGCUCUUGCACAGGUCUAUAAUGAGAAGGAGCGAGCUGAGCAAGGACGAAUAGAAAACGUACAGUGUGAAGAGAGAAAGAGCAGCAGGAAAUGUAACGUAGAAGACAGAAGGCCCAGUACUCAAGGAGAUAAGAAGUUUAAAGAAGAGCCUAUUGCUAAAUGGAACAAAGGAAGCGGUGACCUCAGGCCUAGCCCUCACCCGGCUAAGCUUCUAAUUUGUGGAAAGGAGCUUUUCUCAAGUUUAAGCUGUGAAGGAAACUUCAACAACAGAUAGCUGAUGCAAAUGCACUAAAUGCUGCUGUCACAGACGUCGGACUAGGGUCUCUUCCAGCCCUUCAAUGCAGACUCAGUCAGUGACUCCCUGGGGGACGGACUUCCAGACCUUCAGCCUCUCACUGGAGCUGCACCUCUGGCCUCUCUUGUUCUGAGGCAUCCAGCUUCUUCAACGGAGCAGUUACUGUGUUCCCUGGCUCUCCAAUAGGCAGACAAGCCAUGAAGAAACCAAGCAGCCUCUCCCCAUGGAAACCAAUUUUUUCUUUUUUUUUUUUUGGUUCUUUUUUUCGGAGCUGGGGAUCGAACCCAGGGCCUUGCGCUUCCUAGGCAAGCGCUCUACCACUGAGCUAAAUCCCCAACCCCCAUGGAAACCAAUUUAAUAGAUCCCUUCUUGGUGUUUUUUUUUUUUUUUUUUUUUUUUUUUGAGACAAGUCCUCAUGCAGCCAAACAGAUCCCAAACUGCUGUGAGGAUGACCUUGAACUUCUUUCUCCUCCUCCUGCCUCUGUCUCCUAAGUGAUAGACGAUAGGUGUGUUUCACCACACACAUGCCUGACGUGCCACACACGCAUAGUGGUGUGUGCCUUACUGGUUCUGUCCUUCUAGAGAACCCUCACUGAUAGGCUGAGAAAACCAAACAUUUAUGUGAUAGGGUUGACAUGACCCACACUUUCAGAGCAUCUGCCUGGAUGAAGGGAGCCUCACUUAGCUGUUGAUCUUCAAGAAAUAACAUGAAACAAGGAGGAUCCAACAAUCCUAUUGGAGAAUCCUUCAUGUGCUCAGCCCCAAGGAUACGGAAACACCCAGGAAAUGAAUUCGUCAAGAGGAGAAAACCUGACAGACUAGAAAUGCAAAUGCUUUAGUGUGAAGCCGCUGGAGAGAGAGCUGUGAAGAUCAUUAUUCUCCCAGUGGUGGCUGUGGUCACGUAAGCCUUAUUGACUGAAACGGGCCCUUCCAUAGCCGGUUCAUUUCUACCAGUCGCUUAUCCACAAAUGGAGCUCUCCUGCCCAGUUACCAUGGAGUCCGUGAUGAAAUGUCAACACCUCCUGCUUUGCUUCCAUUACUAAAAGUUGUUUUACAAGUUUGUGAAAAGCCCUGCCUCUGGUAGGGUGAAGCAUUCUUUUGCAGUCUUUGAGAAUGUAGGGUCAGGAUAGAACAGGGUUUCAUUUCAUUUGGGGGUUUUGUUUGUUUUUUGAGACAGGGUUUCUCACUUGUCCCGGAGCUCACUCUGUAGACCGGGCUGCCCUCGAACUCACAGAGAUCCUCCUGCUUCUGCCUCCUGAGGGCUAGGAUUAAAGGAGUAUGCCACCAUCUGGCUUUCAUUUUAUUUCUUACAAUGUUUUUAGUCAGAAUUUUGGUCUAAUAACCAAUACUUGUUUUGCCUUUCUUUCUGUUUAGGGAAAUUCUUAGUAUUUUCUCUACUGCUUAGUAAAAAAGUUGUAUUGACUUUUAUCAAUACAAAGGGGGUGUGGGGGGGAGAAGUAUACAGCUCCAUGGUAGAGCACUUGCCCAACACACGUGAGACCCUAAUUUCCUAGCACUGAGGUGGGGAGGGGAAAAGGAAGGAAGAAAAGAACAGAUAUUUGGCUAAAUUUUCUAAAAUUAAUUUCUCCACCUUUUUCAAAUUGAUAAUUAUAUUAGUCCACAUUCCAUUGCUAUGUCAAAAUGCUUGGAUCUGGGUACUUUGUAAAGAAAAGAAGGUUGUUUUGUUAACAAUUCUGGAGGUGGAAAUCCAAGCUUGAGUGACUUCCUUGGUUCGGCACUUGGAGGAGGACCAGGUGGCUAUUUUCAGGUUUAUCUCAUUGUGAGAAAGAUGUCCAGCUUUUUCUAAGCGUGGCUUUUAGGGGACAGGUCCACUCAUUUGUCAGGGAAAGGAAUGGCUGAGUCACAGAGUGUACUCGUGUCUUUAGUUUCGGUCAGAUUCAGAAGGUGCAAAAGAGGACACAGUCCAAAGCCUUGUUGCCUUUUACGGUCCGUGCUGGAGUUCUCCAGGAACAACAGUGUUAUGUCUCCUCUGUGCUGUGACAGAAACAGCUCUGUGUGUAGGAAGUGCAGCCUGUGUGUUUCACAGGGCCUCGCAGGGCCUCACAAGGCACACACACUCUUCUGUACCUUGCUUCUUUCGCUGUGUCCCUGUCUUUGUUUCUUUGGUUUUUAGCGAGCUAUGUUAAUGAUCCCAAACUACUGGACUCCAAGAAAUGCCUGCCUUGUGUGAUAUUUUGCAUACUAAUCUGUAUGGGUAUCUGUGUGGUUAAAACCCUGUGGGGAAUCUAAAGAUCGUACCUUAACUAUAUACGACUGUCUGUGUUCUCAGUAUUGUAAUUACUCUCAAUCGUGUAAUAACUUAGCAAGAUUUUUGGUUGUUCCAUUUUAAGACAGGGUCUCAGGCUGGUCUCAAACUGUCAACGCCGCUGACCAUCAUCCUGUAUGCCAGGACUACAAGUGCACAUCAGGUGUGGCAAAUUACUAAUAUCUGCUAGUCUUUAGGUAGAAAAUAGUAUCCUUUCUUAGACUCAAACAUUACAUUUUUCUUCAUGUGAGACAGACUUUGCCUGGAAGUUCCCUGCUUUCUCCAGAAAACCUGGGAACACUACCCCCAAGCCAGCCACACUUUGGCCAUGGAUAUUCUGAUUAAAAAUGUAUUGUUUUCCUAUG